AACGUAGGGGGCAAGCGUUGCCCGGAUUCACUGGGCGUAAAGCGGGUGUAGGCGGUCCGUUAAGUCGGGUGUGAAAUCUCCAGGCUCAACCUGGAAACUGCACCCGAUACUGGCGGACUUGAGGACGGUAGAGGUCGGUGGAAUGAGCGGUGUACCGGUGAAAUGGACAGAUAUCGCUCAGAACACCAGUGGCGAAGGCGGCCGACUGGGCCGUUCCUGACGCUGAGACCCGAAAGCCAGGGGAGCGAACCGG
This 253-nucleotide ribosomal RNA is filed under the name uncultured bacterium. RNAcentral describes it as "partial 16S ribosomal RNA". It matches the Rfam family "Bacterial small subunit ribosomal RNA", at positions 524 to 776 of the family's 1533-position model. The record is from RNAcentral.